This 404-nucleotide ribosomal RNA is filed under the name uncultured Bacillota bacterium. Its description in RNAcentral is "bacterial SSU rRNA". It matches the Rfam family "Bacterial small subunit ribosomal RNA", at positions 378 to 774 of the family's 1533-position model. The record is from RNAcentral. Lineage: Bacteria; Bacillati; Bacillota.
GAAGUCUGAUGGAGCAACGCCGCGUGAGUGAUGAAGGUUUUCGGAUCGUAAAACUCUGUUGUAAGGGAAGAACCAGUACGUCAGGCAAUGGACGUACCUUGACGGUACCUUAUUAGAAAGCCACGGCUAACUACGUGCCAGCAGCCGCGGUAAUACGUAGGUGGCAAGCGUUGUCCGGAUUUACUGGGCGUAAAGGAUGCGUAGGCGGAUAUUUAAGUCAGAUGUGAAAUACCCGGGCUCAACUUGGGUGCUGCAUUUGAAACUGGAUAUCUAGAGUGCGGGAGAGGUAAGUGGAAUUCCUAGUGUAGCGGUGAAAUGCGUAGAGAUUAGGAAGAACACCAGUGGCGAAGGCGACUUACUGGACCGUAACUGACGCUGAGGCAUGAAAGCGUGGGGAGCAAACA